Molecule: ribosomal RNA, 272 nt
Filed under: uncultured prokaryote
Description: partial 16S ribosomal RNA
Rfam family: Bacterial small subunit ribosomal RNA
Source: RNAcentral
ACGGAGGGCGCGAGCGUUGUUCGGAAUCACUGGGCGUAAAGCGCGCGCAGGCGGGUCCGUGCGUCGGGAGUGAAAGCCCGGGGCUCAACCCCGGAUUGGCUCUCGAUACGGCGGGCCUAGGGACCGGUAGAGGCCGGUGGAAUUCCCGGUGUAGCGGUGGAAUGCGUAGAGAUCGGGAAGAACACCAGUGGCGAAGGCGGCCGGCUGGGCCGGAAGGCUCCCUUUGGGGAGUGUCCGACGCUCAUGCGCGAAAGCGUGGGGAGCAAACAGGA